RNAcentral lists this ribosomal RNA (409 nucleotides) under Actinomycetes bacterium. RNAcentral describes it as "Actinobacteria bacterium partial 16S ribosomal RNA". It matches the Rfam family "Bacterial small subunit ribosomal RNA", at positions 355 to 776 of the family's 1533-position model. Lineage: Bacteria; Bacillati; Actinomycetota; Actinomycetes. The record is from RNAcentral.
UGGGGAAUAUUGCACAAUGGGCGGAAGCCUGAUGCAGCGACGCCGCGUGGGGGAUGAAGGCCUUCGGGUUGUAAACUCCUUUCGACAGGGACGAAGCUUUUGUGACGGUACCUGUAUAAGAAGCACCGGCUAACUACGUGCCAGCAGCCGCGGUAAUACGUAGGGUGCGAGCGUUGUCCGGAAUUACUGGGCGUAAAGAGCUCGUAGGUGGGUUGUCGCGUCGUCUGUGAAAUUCCGGGGCUUAACUCCGGGCGUGCAGGCGAUACGGGCUGGCUUGAGUGCUGUAGGGGAGACUGGAAUUCCUGGUGUAGCGGUGAAAUGCGCAGAUAUCAGGAGGAACACCGAUGGCGAAGGCAGGUCUCUGGGCAGUAACUGACGCUGAGGAGCGAAAGCAUGGGUAGCGAACAGG